This 497-nucleotide ribosomal RNA is filed under the name uncultured bacterium. RNAcentral describes it as "partial 16S ribosomal RNA". It matches the Rfam family "Bacterial small subunit ribosomal RNA", at positions 28 to 507 of the family's 1533-position model. The record is from RNAcentral.
GAUGAACGCUGGCGGCGUGCCUAAUACAUGCAAGUCGAGCGAACAGAUGAGGAGCUUGCUCCUCUGACGUUAGCGGCGGACGGGUGAGUAGCACGUGGAUAACCUACCUAUAAGACUGGGAUAACUUCGGGAAACCGGAGCUAAUACCGGAUAAGAUAUUGAACCGCAUGGUUCAAUAGUGAAAGACGGUUUUGCUGUCACUUAGACAUGGAUCCGCGCCGCAUUAGCUAGUUGGUAAGGUAACGGCUUACCAAGGCAACGAUGCGUAGCCGACCUGAGAGGGUGAUCGGCCACACUGGAACUGAGACACGGUCCAGACUCCUACGGGAGGCAGCAGUAGGGAAUAUUCCGCAAUGGGCGAAAGCCUGACGGAGCAACGCCGCGUGAGUGAUGAAGGUCUUCGGAUCGUAAAACUCUGUUAUUAGGGAAGAACAAAUGUGUAAGUAACUAUGCACGUCUUGACGGUACCUAAUCAGAAAGCCACGGCUAACUACGUG